AGAGUUUGAUCAUGGCUCAGGAUGAACGCUGGCGGCGUGCGUAACACAUGCAAGUUGAGCGACGACGCGUCUGAAGUGGCAACAUGGAAGGUGCGAGCGGAGCAGCGGACGGGUGAGUAUAACAUGAGAAGCUGUCCUCUGGUGGGGGGCAACGUCUAGAAAUGGACGCUAAUACCCCAUAGGCCGAAAGGUUAAAGCAGCAAUGUGCCAGAGGAGGUGCUCGUGCCCUAUCAGCUAGUUGGUGAGGUAAUGGCUCACCAAGGCGACGACGGGUAGCCGGCCUGAGAGGGUGUCCGGCCACACUGGGACUGAGAUACGGCCCAGACUCCUACGGGAGGCAGCAGUGGGGAAUAUUGGGCAAUGGGAGAAAUCCUGACCCAGCGACGCCGCGUGAACGAAGAAGGCCUUCGGGUCGUAAAGUUCUUUUAUGCGGGAAGAAGAAAGUGACGGUACCGCAUGAAUAAGCCCCGGCUAACUACGUGCCAGCAGCCGCGGUAAUACGUAGGGGGCGAGCGUUGUCCGGAAUUACUGGGCGUAAAGGGCACGCAGGCGGUGUGUCAAGUCAGCUGUAAAAGGAUGCGGCUUAACCGUAUUGUGCAGUUGAGACUGACGUACUGGAGUACUAGAGAGGUAAGUGGAAUUCCCAGUGUAGCGGUGAAAUGCGUAGAUAUUGGGAAGAACAUCGGUGGCGAAGGCGACUUGCUGGCCAGUAACUGACGCUGAGGUGCGAAAGCCAGGGUAGCAAACGGGAUUAGAUACCCCGGUAGUCCUGGCCGUAAACGAUGAGCACUAGGUGUCGGGAACGAAGAUUCUCGGUGCCGCAGUUAACGCAUUAAGUGCUCCGCCUGGGGAGUACGCACGCAAGUGUAAAACUCAAAGGAAUUGACGGGGACCCGCACAAGCAGCGGAGCAUGUGGUUUAAUUCGAAGCAACGCGAAGAACCUUACCAGGUCUUGACAUCCUCUUGAAACUCUGGGUAAUGCCGGAGCCUCUACGGACAAGAGAGACAGGUGGUGCAUGGUUGUCGUCAGCUCGUGUCGUGAGAUGUUGGGUUAAGUCCCGGCGAGUGAGCGCAACCCUCGCCUCUAGUUGCCAGCGAUUCGGUCGGGCACUCUAGAGGGACUGCCGGGGACAACUCGGAGGAAGGUGGGGAUGACGUCAAAUCAUCAUGCCCCUUAUGAUCUGGGCUACACACGUGCUACAAUGGCCGGUACAACAGGAAGCGAUAUUGUGAGAUGGAGCGAAACCCAAAAGCCGGUCCCAGUUCGGACUGCAGGCUGCAACCCGCCUGCACGAAGUCGGAGUUGCUAGUAAUCGCGGAUCAGAAUGCCGCGGUGAAUGCGUUCCCGGGUCUUGUACACACCGCCCGUCACACCAUGGAAGUUGGGGGUGCCCGAAGUUGGUUAAUAAAUCUACUACCUAAGGCAAAACCAAUGACUGGGGUGAAGUCGUAACAAGGUAACCGUA
This 1467-nucleotide ribosomal RNA is filed under the name uncultured rumen bacterium. Its description in RNAcentral is "partial 16S ribosomal RNA". It matches the Rfam family "Bacterial small subunit ribosomal RNA". The record is from RNAcentral.